RNAcentral lists this ribosomal RNA (456 nucleotides) under Streptomyces sp. HVXM-17-3. Its description in RNAcentral is "bacterial SSU rRNA". It matches the Rfam family "Bacterial small subunit ribosomal RNA", at positions 56 to 527 of the family's 1533-position model. Lineage: Bacteria; Bacillati; Actinomycetota; Actinomycetes; Kitasatosporales; Streptomycetaceae. The record is from RNAcentral.
UGCAAGUCGAACGAUGAAGCCCUUCGGGGUGGAUUAGUGGCGAACGGGUGAGUAACACGUGGGCAAUCUGCCCUGCACUCUGGGACAAGCCCUGGAAACGGGGUCUAAUACCGGAUACGAGCUUCCCGGGCAUCUGGGAGGUUGGAAAGCUCCGGCGGUGCAGGAUGAGCCCGCGGCCUAUCAGCUUGUUGGUGAGGUAACGGCUCACCAAGGCGACGACGGGUAGCCGGCCUGAGAGGGCGACCGGCCACACUGGGACUGAGACACGGCCCAGACUCCUACGGGAGGCAGCAGUGGGGAAUAUUGCACAAUGGGCGCAAGCCUGAUGCAGCGACGCCGCGUGAGGGAUGACGGCCUUCGGGUUGUAAACCUCUUUCAGCAGGGAAGAAGCGCAAGUGACGGUACCUGCAGAAGAAGCGCCGGCUAACUACGUGCCAGCAGCCCGGGGGUAAUUCA